Molecule: long non-coding RNA, 1908 nt
Organism: Cottoperca gobio
Lineage: Eukaryota; Metazoa; Chordata; Actinopteri; Perciformes; Bovichtidae
Source: Ensembl
GUAGUGAGACAGAGACAUGUGUAAUGUCCCUGAAGGUAACGUUUCCUCUCUCUCCUGUCAUGGUGUCAUCAGUCCUGUGUUGUAUAUGUAGUGAGACAGACAUGUGUAAUGUCCCUGAAGGUAACGUUUCCUCUCUCUCCUGUCAUGGUGUCAUCAGUCCUGUGUUGUAUAUGUAGUGGACAGAGAAAUGUGUAAUGUCCCUGAAGGUAACGUUUCCUCUCUCCUGUCAUGGUGUCAUCAGUCCUGUGUUGUAUAUGUAGUGAGACAGAGAAAUGUGUAAUGUUCCUGAAGGUAACGUUUCCUCUCUCUCCUGUCAUGGUGUCAUCAGUCCUGUGUUGUAUAUGUAGUGAGACAGAGACAUGUGUAAUGUCCCUGAAGGUAACGUUUCCUCUCUCUCCUGUCAUGGUGUCAUCAGUCCUGUGUUGUAUAUGUAGUGAGACAGAGACAUGUGUAAUGUUCCUGAAGGUAACGUUUCCUCUCUCUCCUGUCAUGGUGUCAUCAGUCCUGUGUUGUAUAUGUAGUCAGACAGAGACAUAUGUAAUGUUCCUGAAGGUAACGUUUCCUCUCUCCUGUCAUGGUGUCAUCAGUCCUAUGUUGUAUAUGUAGUGAGACAGAGACAUGUGUAAUGUUCCUGAAGGUAACGUUUCCUCUCUCCUGUCAUGGUGUCAUCAGUCCUGUGUUGUAUAUGUAGUGAGACAGAGACAUGUGUAAUGUUCCUGAAGGUAACGUUUCCUCACUCCUGUCAUGGUGUCAUCAGUCCUGUGUUGUAUAUGUAGUGAGACAGAGACAUGUGUAAUGUUCCUGAAGGUAAUGUUUCCUCUCUCCUGUCAUGGUGUCAUCAGUCCUGUGUUGUAUAUGUAGUGAGACAGAGACAUGUGUAAUGUUCCUGAAGGUAACGUUUCCUCUCUCUCCUGUCAUGGUGUCAUCAGUCCUGUGUUGUAUAUGUAGUGAGACAGAGACAUGUGUAAUGUUCCUGAAGGUAACGUUUCCUCUCUCCUGUCAUGGUGUCAUCAGUCCUGUGUUGUAUAUGUAGUGAGACAGAGACAUGUGUAAUGUCCCUGAAGGUAACGUUUCCUCUCUCUCCUGUCAUGGUGUCAUCAGUCCUGUGUUGUAUAUGUAGUGAGACAGAGACAUGUGUAAUGUUCCUGAAGGUAACGUUUCCUCUCUGCUGUCAUGGUGUCAUCAGUCCUGUGUUGUAUAUGUAGUGAGACAGAGACAUGUGUAAUGUUCCUGAAGGUAAUGUUUCCUCUCUCCUGUCAUGGUGUCAUCAGUCCUGUGUUGUAUAUGUAGUGAGACAGAGACAUGUGUAAUGUUCCUGAAGGUAACGUUUCCUCUCUCUCCUGUCAUGGUGUCAUCAGUCCUGUGUUGUAUAUGUAGUGAGACAGAGACAUGUGUAAUGUUCCUGAAGGUAACGUUUCCUCUCUCCUGUCAUGGUGUCAUCAGUCCUGUGUUGUAUAUGUAGUGAGACAGAGACAUGUGUAAUGUCCCUGAAGGUAACGUUUCCUCUCUCUCCUGUCAUGGUGUCAUCAGUCCUGUGUUGUAUAUGUAGUGAGACAGAGACAUGUGUAAUGUUCCUGAAGGUAACGUUUCCUCUCUGCUGUCAUGGUGUCAUCAGUCCUGUGUUGUAUAUGUAGUGAGACAGAGACAUGUUCCUGAUCCUCUGUGGAGAAUUCUGCUGCUGAACCAGAAACACUGAAGGAAUCCUAACGGGAGGAGAACUCCCAUGAUGCACCACCACACCAAACUCCAGCUUCUACUAUUGUUUUGAUUGAGAGACCACUAGAAGCAGAACAUUACAUAUUGUGUGUUUAAACAGUCAUAAUAAAUAUUACCAUGCACAGAAGUUCAUUAUAAUUAACCCACAUUAAGAUCAUUGGUGUUUAAUUAUGUGGAACUGUUCUCUGGGAG